This 497-nucleotide ribosomal RNA is filed under the name uncultured bacterium. RNAcentral's name for it is "partial 16S ribosomal RNA". It matches the Rfam family "Bacterial small subunit ribosomal RNA", at positions 28 to 507 of the family's 1533-position model. The record is from RNAcentral.
GAUGAACGCUGGCGGCGUGCCUAAUACAUGCAAGUCGAGCGAACAGACGAGGAGCUUGCUCCUCUGACGUUAGCGGCGGACGGGUGAGUAACACGUGGAUAACCUACCUAUAAGACUGGGAUAACUUCGGGAAACCGGAGCUAAUACCGGAUAAUAUAUUGAACCGCAUGGUUCAAUAGUGAAAGACGGUUUUGCUGUCACUUAUAGAUGGAUCCGCGCCGCAUUAGCUAGUUGGUAAGGUAACGGCUUACCAAGGCAGCGAUUCGUAGCCGACCUGAGAGGGUGAUCGGCCACACUGGAACUGAGACACGGUCCAGACUCCUACGGGAGGCAGCAGUAGGGAAUCUUCCGCAAUGGGCGAAAGCCUGACGGAGCAACGCCGCGUGAGUGAUGAAGGUCUUCGGAUCGUAAAACUCUGUUAUUAGGGAAGAACAAAUGUGUAAGUAACUAUGCACGUCUUGACGGUACCUAAUCAGAAAGCCACGGCUAACUACGUG